Long non-coding RNA from Neopsephotus bourkii (Bourke's parrot), 1373 nucleotides. RefSeq lists it as uncharacterized. The record is from RefSeq and is a predicted model, not a curated record. Lineage: Eukaryota; Metazoa; Chordata; Aves; Psittaciformes; Psittacidae. The transcript has 3 exons.
GCUGAUAAAUGUAAGGAAGGGAAAAAGGAAGCGACUACAAGAAGCAGAGUAUCAUAUAUCUAACCUGACCAAAUGCGGUGAGAGCAGCUGUCCCCCAGUAGAACACAUCUACAGUGGGGUGCAAGAUUUAAAUUGUGUGCAAAAAAAGAAGAGGUCCUUGAUUUGCCUGUCCUACCUGAAAUCAGGAGCUUUUCUAAUGGGACCUAUCAGAAGUAAGCAGAUGAAAAAGAAAAUUGAAUGUGAUGAGCUGUGGAUGGAUCAGGGUUGUGCUGGCUUUUGAAGAGGAGGAAAAAUCUAGCAUCCAGCCCUGGAAAGUCUCAGAAGCUGCUGAUGGGGAAGCUGGAGAGAACAAAAUUAUGAAAUGGGAGCCUAAAUCAGAUUCACCAAGAUAACCAUGUUUUACCCCAGGGAACAGCACAGUCAAGCAGGCUCAAAGAGUGGCAGAAUCAGCUAAUGCUGUUCUCAGAAGAAAUGAAGUAGCAGGGGGGUGAAGACCAGCAGGGAACUGGAAAGAUGAAGCAUCGGAAGUGAGCACCUGGUGGUUAUAACAGUUAGGCUUGGGGAUAUUAAGUUUGCUUUCUUCAUAAUUACGGUUGCAUUUCAGUGAUAUAAGAUGGGCAAACCACACCAUCCAGCAUUUCCCUGCUGCACAGAGUCCUGGGGCCAUGGCUGCAUCUGACUAUUCAUGGACGAAAUGCAAAGUGGGCACAAGAUGAACUUACUGUCCACAACUAUCUGAGCUCCUUCCUGAGGGGAAGUGGCACAUCAAUUUCACUCCCGGCCAAAUGACCGUAGCAGCAUAAAGUUUCUGGCAUAAAAUGGAAACCUGGGCAGCUGUCACAGCAGCUUUGCCAAGAAUUAUCUUGCCUGGGCAGCGGCAUCUUAAGGUAUUGCUUGAGCCUCCAAGGCUGACCAGCCAGAGCAACUGUGGGGAAAUGUACAACCCUUUUUGUGGAAGGCGCGAGGAAAACGUGUAUGCUGUGUUGGGCAUCUCUGCAGCACAUUACUCUCUGUCACUUCUUAAUGGAUCCUCCUAUUCCUACACUGAGACAUACAUUAAAAAUGCCUUUCCUCUCCCCCUUCCUUUUUCAAUCAGCUUGUGAAAAAGCUGCAGUUGAUGUUUAAGUGCCUGUAAUGUCACAUUGCCAAGCCUUCAAAGACUGCCAAAUAUCUCAGUGGAAAGCUUGGAUGUGAUGGGGUAUUUUUAAUGAUUAAGUGGCCUUUAUGCACGACAAAGGGUGCAAACACCAUUAUAAACAUGACUGAUGCAAUGCAUUUACAAAUCAUUAUUUAAAACAAUAUUCACAGAAAAGGAAUGCCAACAAAACUACUUCAAAAUGUGUGAAAAUAAGUCCAAGUGAAAGUGUUGGGGG